This 237-nucleotide long non-coding RNA is filed under the name Nicotiana benthamiana. RNAcentral's name for it is "long non-coding RNA (NBEN_LNC001035)". Lineage: Eukaryota; Viridiplantae; Streptophyta; Magnoliopsida; Solanales; Solanaceae. The record is from RNAcentral.
GCUCUGUAGAAUUUCCCUUUGAGUUUGUGUGGAAUUUUCUUGUCACACAGGACCCCUGAAGCGAGUCUCCACUUUGACCACCCCGCUCCAAUCCGAUGGGUGACGUCCCGGUCAAUCUCACCGUCCCCCUGAAUCACAGACCCAAGGUAUCUAACACUGUCCCUCUUGGCGAUAGCCUGAUAACCAAGCAUCACUUCCCCGCCUACCCCACUCGGCCCGUCGCCAAACUUGCACUCC